GUUGUUGUUUUCGGUGUUGGCUCAGGUGAGGGUUGUUGUUUUCAGUGUUGGCUCAGGUGAGGGUUGUUGUUUUCAGUGUUGGCUCAGGUGAGGGUUGUUGUUUUCAGUGUUGGCUCAGGUGAGGGUUGUUGUUUUCAGUGUUGGCUCAGGUGAGGGUUGUUGUUUUCAGUGUUGGCUCAGGUGAGGGUUGUUGUUUUCAGUGUUGGCUCAGGUGAGGGUUGUUGUUUUCAGUGUUGGCUCAGGUGAGGGUUGUUGUUUUCAGUGUUGGCUCAGGUGAGGGUUGUUGUUUUCAGUGUUGGCUCAGGUGAGGGUUGUUGUUUUCAGUGAUGGAGCAGACAACUAGGGGAGUCCUGGAUGGCGUAGCGACGUGUCAACGUGUCAACAACGUGGCUCAGCAAAAGCUCUUUGACCUGCUGACAUGGUAUGACCCUUGACACAGAAAACACCAGAAACUGUGGUCAUUGGUCACCUGAAGUUUACCUAUGACACACAUCUGAUGUGAUUGUUUCAAAAUCAAAUCAAAUUUUAUUUGUCACAUGCGCUGAAUACAACAGGGAAAUGCGUUGUGUCUGCUAGGUGUGUGUGUUCUGAAGUGUGUUUUAUG
Long non-coding RNA from Oncorhynchus keta (chum salmon), 604 nucleotides. RefSeq lists it as uncharacterized. Lineage: Eukaryota; Metazoa; Chordata; Actinopteri; Salmoniformes; Salmonidae. The record is from RefSeq and is a predicted model, not a curated record. The transcript has 3 exons.